UGGGGGAGUAUUGCACAAUGGGGGAAACCCGUGAUGCAGCAACGCCGCGUGAAGGAAGAAGGUCUUCGGAUUGUAAACUUUUGUCCUUGGUGAAGAUAAUGACGGUAGCCAAGGAGGAAGCUCCGGCUAACUACGUGCCAGCAGCCGCGGUAAUACGUAGGGAGCGAGCGUUGUCCGGAUUUACUGGGUGUAAAGGGUGCGUAGGCGGAAGAGCAAGUCAGUAGUGAAAUCCAUGGGCUUAACCCGUGAACUGCUAUUGAAACUGUUCUUCUUGAGUGAAGUAGAGGUAGGCGGAAUUCCCGGUGUAGCGGUGAAAUGCGUAGAGAUCGGGAGGAACACCAGUGGCGAAGGC
RNAcentral lists this ribosomal RNA (352 nucleotides) under uncultured Clostridium sp. RNAcentral describes it as "bacterial SSU rRNA". It matches the Rfam family "Bacterial small subunit ribosomal RNA", at positions 354 to 722 of the family's 1533-position model. The record is from RNAcentral. Lineage: Bacteria; Bacillati; Bacillota; Clostridia; Eubacteriales; Clostridiaceae.